GACGAACGCUGGCGGCGUGCUUAACACAUGCAAGUCGAACGAUGAACCACUUCGGUGGGGAUUAGUGGCGAACGGGUGAGUAACACGUGGGCAAUCUGCCCUUCACUCUGGGACAAGCCCUGGAAACGGGGUCUAAUACCGGAUAACACUCUCGCAGGCAUCUGUGAGGGUUAAAAGCUCCGGCGGUGAAGGAUGAGCCCGCGGCCUAUCAGCUUGUUGGUGAGGUAAUGGCUCACCAAGGCGACGACGGGUAGCCGGCCUGAGAGGGCGACCGGCCACACUGGGACUGAGACACGGCCCAGACUCCUACGGGAGGCAGCAGUGGGGAAUAUUGCACAAUGGGCGAAAGCCUGAUGCAGCGACGCCGCGUGAGGGAUGACGGCCUUCGGGUUGUAAACCUCUUUCAGCAGGGAAGAAGCGAAAGUGACGGUACCUGCAGAAGAAGCGCCGGCUAACUACGUGCCAGCAGCCGCGGUAAUACGUAGGGCGCAAGCGUUGUCCGGAAUUAUUGGGCGUAAAGAGCUCGUAGGCGGCUUGUCACGUCGAUUGUGAAAGCCCGAGGCUUAACCUCGGGUCUGCAGUCGAUACGGGCUAGCUAGAGUGUGGUAGGGGAGAUCGGAAUUCCUGGUGUAGCGGUGAAAUGCGCAGAUAUCAGGAGGAACACCGGUGGCGAAGGCGGAUCUCUGGGCCAUUACUGACGCUGAGGAGCGAAAGCGUGGGGAGCGAACAGGAUUAGAUACCCUGGUAGUCCACGCCGUAAACGGUGGGAACUAGGUGUUGGCGACAUUCCACGUCGUCGGUGCCGCAGCUAACGCAUUAAGUUCCCCGCCUGGGGGAGUACGGCCGCAAGGCUA
This 854-nucleotide ribosomal RNA is filed under the name uncultured bacterium. RNAcentral's name for it is "bacterial SSU rRNA". It matches the Rfam family "Bacterial small subunit ribosomal RNA", at positions 28 to 896 of the family's 1533-position model. The record is from RNAcentral.